Long non-coding RNA from Macadamia integrifolia, 10633 nucleotides. RefSeq lists it as uncharacterized. The record is from RefSeq and is a predicted model, not a curated record. NCBI's taxonomy places the organism in Eukaryota, Viridiplantae, Streptophyta, Magnoliopsida, Proteales, Proteaceae. The transcript has 3 exons.
AUGGAGGGGGAAGGGAUAUGGGAAGGUCAGGGAAGGGACAUGAGAAGGUCAGGGAAGGGACAUGGGAAGGUCGAGGUAAAAAACACACCUUAAUUAAGUCAUUUUAGUUAGUAGAAAAUUUUGAAAGUAUCAUAUUGAUUUUCUUAGUUGGAAAUUAAAUUAAAUUCUAAUAAGAGAAAUAAGUUGCAAAUCACUAUUAAUAAAUCAUCUCACCAUCAUAAGGAUAACUAUUAUUCACCUUUUGCUUCCUCAAAAAAGUAGUUUUUGGCCUUGUUUCCACAUUUGUCCUAUUGUGCUUGAGUUCCGCCUCUUGGAGAUCCCAUCCCUUUGAGAUCAUAUGUAGGAUUCUUAUUUCCACUGUCUUUUUGUAUGUGAAUGGCAUCAUCCUCCAUCUAUUUAACAUAUGUCUCUUUGGUGUCUAAGGUCAUAUUGUUUUUAUUAUAUGUUGUAUUAGGUUGCUUUCUCGGAGGAACUAGUAGGAAUAGAAGGAGAAGGGAAAGCGAAAAAGAAAAUGAAAAUUUUCCUUCACCAGUUGUUGCUCUGAAAAAAAAAAAUAAUAAGAGAUUGAAGCUUGUUGUACAAAAUUUAUAGUUGGUCAUUCCCUAUUUGUGUGAGGGGGAGAAAAAUUCUGUUAUAAAAUUUUUUUCUCUAAAUUUUAUUUUUCUGUGCUAUCCCACUUAAUGAGACAUAACCCGAGGAUAAUAACCUUUCCAAAAAGUAGUUACUCAUUUCCCAAAGUUUUCUCCCACUUAAGCAACCAAAAAAUUGCAUCUCCUAUCUUUUGUUUGAUUUUCCUCUCUCACGCUAACAAAACAUAGCUUUAUGAUCAGAGGAUGAACUAACAAGCCUUUGUCCCCACCCCCAACCCUUUUAUUUUUCUUCUUUUUAGGUCCCUAUUGUAGUAUGUGGCUAAGAUGCAGACAGAGUCGAGUUUGAAAUAAAAAAUCCAGCUAGCUCUAGGUUUAAUAUCCACUCUUUCCCCCAAUACCUGUUUCAUCCACUUUCUCCUUGACUAAUUCAUGCUAUAUAAAAUCAAAAGAUGACUUGUAAUGCCAUGACCCAAACCUAGAUACAGGUAAGGGUACAGUCCACGCAAGGCAGCUUUUCUUUUGGCCCCAAGCUUUAAUUCCAAACUUUUAAGCUUCCCUAAAUUAUCUCCUUAUCUACAAGAAGCCUUUGCCACAAGAAGUAUUUCAGCCAAUACAGCUGUCUGUUGGGCCCCACUAGAUUGUUAUAAAUUCUGGGAAAUAAAUCGACGCAAGCUGUACAAAAAGAAAAUUCUGGAAGUUCACAUUCGCAGGUGGAAUAUACCCAUACAGAUGACAUAAAUAGGAAUUAAUUGGACUGCAAAGUUGAACUAAAUGUGAGCCAACUUUAGAGUUCCAAUUAUGGACUUACCAAUGAUGGACUGAAUCUACAUCAUAGUGAGGAGAUGAUGCUGUCUUUUCAAUCAACAACAACAAACAACAUCAACUCAACCUUCUCCCAACUAGAUGGGGUUGGCUGAAUGGAUCCAUGAGAGAGUAAAAAUAUUUAAAAAAAAAAAAAAAAAAAAAAAAAAAAAGAACACAGCUACACCUCAGCGAAUCCCAUCUAAAUGGAGUCGGCUACAUGGAUCCUUACCUUCUAAACAGCUCUAUUUAAAGUAAUAAUCGAUUCAAGACCUAAACCAUGCAUGUCUUUCCUCAUUACUUUUCCCAUGGUCAUUUUGGCCUACCACUAGCUCUUCUAGAUCCUUUAAUCGAAAUGGAACCACUCCGCCUUACUGGAAGCAUCCCAAGGCCUUUGUUGAACAUGGUUGUUCCAACUCAAAUGACUUUCUCAGAGCAUGUCAUGAAUCGGUGCCACUCCUAAAUUAGCUCUAACAUAGUCGUUGUCUUUUAAUGUGGUGAUCAAAAUUCGUAUAGAUGUUUUCGCAUCUCCAGUUUCUCUUGCUAUAAAAGUAGCGUUUGAAGUUUCUCCCCUUACAUUAUUGUGUUAAGGAAGUACCUAAAUGAUAUGUGAGAGAACCCAAUAAGUGCAUAAAGAGGGAUCUUACUUAAACCUACUUGUAUAAAUCGCUUGUAGAUACCCCUUCCCACUCUUGUACAAUUCUAUAUUAUUGUGUUAAGGAAGUACCUAAAUUAUAUAUAAGAACCCAGUAAGUGCAUAAAGAGGGAUCUUACUUAAACAUAUCUGUAUAAAUUUCUUGUAGAUACCGCUUCCCACUUUUGUAGCAUUGUUUUUAUAUUUUCCUCUCUGUUAUAUUGCUUAAAUUGCAUGUAUGAUCAUAGUGUUUGUAAGUUUUUAUUUUCCUUGGGUGUAACAUAUCACAAUGUUAGUUUGAAAAUGCAUUUCUCAAUGUGUGGAGCUAAUAGUAUUAACUUGUCCACAAUAGGUGCCAUCAAUGAAUUUUUACUGCAGCCAUGCUUAACAGCAAUGUAAUCAUGGUUAUGCUUAUUGUUUACUUUUUAUUCUUUAUCAAAUAUGUCUUAUUACAUAGUUUGAAUUUUGUAGAAAAACCAUUUGUUUGGUCCUUCGGCUCGUUGGUUGAACCAAGUCGAUAUGGUUGCAAUGAUAACAGCUACGGAAUUACAAAUAUGUGCUAAGACUUCCGUGUAUGAGGUGUAAAUUCCAAUCCCAUAGCAGAUACUAUAACUGACAAGCUAAUAUGUUGUACGUUGGAAUAUCACCAAGUCUAUCUAGUAACAUCAUGUGCUGAUUAUUACAGUAAAGAUCAUAACCCGUGCCUGGUAGUAAACCUGAGUCAUGUCAGUUAUUUUAUAAUUCACAAGUGUGGAAUUCUAUGGCGAUAUCGGCCGUUAGUUCCAAAAGAACAAAUGAGGAAGUAUUGAUGUUUUUCAUGUAUUAGGAAGAAAGAGUGGUAUCUGUAAGCCGACAUCUGCAGUAAUGUGCCACUCCAAGGAAUCCGACAAGGAGAGGUAACCAGGUUGGAUCGGAAUACGGUGUUAAGUUGUGCCUGUCCAAUAUGACCUGCACGUUGAGUAAUAAAACACCCAAAGAUUGGCACUGGAAAUUUUAUCUUGUCAAGCAGUUGACAUAGCUGCCCAUUUUAGUACUUUAGAAGCAUUAGAUUUCCUCAUUCUUUACUUUCCUUCCAUUUUGGGUCUAUUUGGUUGGAGGGGAAGAGAAAUUGGUGAUCAAAUGCUGUGGGUGUUGGCGGGGCUGCUACCUGAUGAUGGUACUAUUUCUGUCCAAGGACUGCUGCUGCUACCUACUGCUGUCCAUGAAGCUCAGGGCUGCAAACAAGCAAAAUCAGAGAGCUGGACGGCUGUCCAAGCAUGGGAAUUGCUGUUGGAACCUCCCUACUGCUAUAUCUGCAAAAUUAAGCUGCAGUGUUGGAUGUGCAUCAUUUCCAUUAUGUGACAGGGUGGCAAGCAAAUGUCUUAAUUUUGACUUGGUUGAAUUGAAUUGUAUAUUUGUCAUAGUUUUGAACGCCAGAUGGCCACUGAACUGUCAAAAUGGCAAGUUUUGGAGAAACCGGUCUAACCCUUUUAUUUUUAUCCAGCAAGCCAAAAACUUGGAAAAAUUGCUGGUUUAAAUAGUUCGUUUGGACCUCUUUCUAAAAUCUAUCCAGUUUUUUCCACCUAUUGUUUGGCUAUAGGGUCAAAUUUGAUUUUGUUUCGGAUCAGAAUGUGAUGUUAUCUAGUUCGGAUCGGAAUGUGAUGUUAUCUUGUUAAUGUUCCAACUGGUUUAAUUGGCUGGUCCAUUUCUAAAGCUGCAACAUUAAUAGAGUCAAGUUAUUUUUAUCUAGGUUAGGAAUUAAAACUGCCACAAUGUGGUCUACCUUAUGAGAGUAUUUUGAGAAAUUUUAUUUUAGGGCUGGGGGAAUGGUUUUAGCAACAAUUUCCAGAGUUUUCAUUCAACUUCAUUUCAAAAUGUAUAGUCUCUUCAAAAUUUAAUUAUAGGGCACCGAAUGUGUGUUUUGAAGAUGAUGAUACCGUUGUCAACCUUGAAACUGAAUUAGAAAGAAGUAGAAGGACUACAUGCAGUUGUUGUGGGAUCAAAGGUGCUGCUCUUGGGUGUUAUGAGCUUUUGCAAAGUUAGUUCCACAAUGUCGAUGGGAUGAUGUAAGUUCAGUUUGCUUGAUAAACUACAGACUUGUAUUUAUUUUAAAAAAUGGUAUUGUACUGAUACUUGUAGAUCAGUAAGGAUUGAAAGGUGCGUAUUUCCUUCAAGCGGAGAACUUUGUGAUUCUAUGCCCUCUUCUUCAUACUUCUAAAUUGCCUUGUGAAACUUCUGGACCUCAAGAGAAAAGUAGAAAGAGGUCUAUUCCAAAAGGGUGGUUGUGCUUGGAUAUUCUGCUUGUAUUUUUUUUUCUACAUUUGUUUUUUCAGGUAUAAUCUUGAAGCAUGCCUGAAAUUAAGUAUUAGCUUACAAGAUGUUAUCUGGUUGAAAUGUACAUAGAAUCCCAUGCCUGUAAAACCAAAGUACCAGUUAAACAUGGUUAGCCAGCAAUGAAAGCAUUCUGGAUCUUCUAACAAAUGUAUUCUUUGUUGCUCAACCUUUGUUGUUGCAGAGAAGAUAAUUCAAAAUAAAUUGAGUAGACCUUGGUUGGGACACUGACAAAUCCUUAAGAAAAAUAUUAACAAUUGGAACCACAGGAAACUGUCUCUGAGUUUGAAAAAUUGGCUGGUAUUUCGGUGGCUAAGACCUGGUGUUCCAGCAUCACCUAUGUCAUUGCAUCUGCAGAUGAGAAUGGAGCUUGCAGGAGAACUUUAAAAAUUUUGACUGGGGUCUUGUAGGGAAAAUGGAUAAUGGAGAUAGUCAGUAAGCAGCAUUGUUUCUGUAGACAGAUUUGUCAUACUUUACCAUUCUAUUUAUAUGUUUCGAAAGAGUUAUUCUGAUAUAGUUCAUAUAACUUAUAUUUUGUAUGCAAAAUUAAGGCUUGCAUGGACACAUUGGGAUCUGUUAACAAAGUUCAAUAUGAAAUCAGUGUGGACAUCCAUGGAAUAAGGGAUGGCCCUCAGUCGGGAAGGUAUGUAUCUUCUUGUAGAGAAAUUACUGUUACAGGUCUGUUGGGCUAGAAUUUAGUUCUUUUGAUUGCAAUUACUGCUGCAAAAAACAACUUUCAAGCUUCAAAAAACCCAAAAUUGGCUGGUGGAUGACAGUAUUUUUUUCCAUAAGGCCUUUGUUGAGAUCUUUAAGAUUUUGACAUGGAAGUCCUGAAUUUCGUUAAUUGAAUAUUUAGAUUAUUAGAAGUUAUGGAACAACCUUAGAAAUAUUUUUUUUUCUACUGUUUCUACUUUCUACAUAGGACAUUUCAGAUAUCAAAAAAACAUUUUUUGAAAAAUAGAGGACAAGAAAAAAAUAUAAAAAAAUAACCAAGAAAAGGGUUGGAAAAAGAAAACAUUGCUAAAACAGAAUACUGGUUAGUUAGAGCUGAUUGUUUCUGCCUUUUAAAUGGUAAGGUAACAUAACAGCAAUUAUUACUUGAAUCAAUUUCUCUGCCCUUAUAAUGCGAUCGAGAGGGAAAAAUAAGAAAGAACCGUUCUUCUCUCUUCCGGAUUCGAAUUACAGAGGGAGAUGUGCAAGUCCCAGCGUAUCAUUUGAAUGGUUUUUUCAAUAAGAUAGGGAUUGGAAACCGACAUGACUAUUGAAAGGGAGUCCCUCUAGGCCUCUACUUCCUCCCUCCCAUCAGGGUUUUAAAAAAGGAAUCAGGUUCGAAUCGGUCCGAUCCAACCAAUUCUAAGCUAUUUGUAGGAGAAAAUGGGAUCAGCUUUUGGAUUUGGGAAUUGACUCAAGAAUUGAUCAGAUUCAAGUUGAAAUAUGAUAGAUAGUGUAAUGUAACAGAAAUUUUUACUUGGGCUUAGGUGAAUUUACAUAAUGGCAGAUAAGCCCAAUAAUGCAUUUUCACAGUACCUUAUGCAGUCAAGACAUACUGGAGAGUUUGUUUAUGUUCUGAAUAUUAGCCUUCUAGCUUCUUAUUAUGUGGCAGGCCAAAUCCCAUGGUGGAAAUUCUAUUAAUAUUUCUAAUCCACCUAAUGAAGCUAAAGAGGAUGAAUGUCAAGUGGAAAUUAUUAUUGAAUACUUACCAAAGGAGACCCAGGUAGGUCUGCCUGUCGGCAUACUUCUAUUAUAAAUUAUCAGUUUACUAGUUUCUUGGAUUCUGGCAGAUCAUGGUUUCAUUGAUAGCAGUAAUUUCCUACUAGCUAUUAUGUAUCAACAAUGGUAUUCUUCCACUAAGUUCUAAUUGUUUCAACUAUCUUCUCUCCUGCUAGGAAGGAUCAUUUUGCUUGAUUGUCUCUGAAUUUAUGUACAAGCCAUGAAAGUUUGCACAAAACUAACUGAAAAUAGUGCAUCUUCGAUGAAUGGAAACUAAUGCACUCCAUCAAUCACCAUUGUAGCUGCUGAGACUCUUGAAUUAUGUGUGACAGAAUUCCUUAAAGAGCAGAUCAGUUCUUACUUCACAUUAAAGCUUCUUAGGAUUUUUUGGUACAUCAUCCUCAAUGUCAGGGGACUUGACAAAACUGAGAAUGACCAUACAUCUCACGGAUCCCUCAUAUUGCUGGUUCUCAAAUACAUAAGGGGGAUGCAGAGUUGGAGUUCAUUAAGCAUGUCUGCGCUGUUCUUGCUCUGGUUAUAAAAUACAUAAAUGGGAUGCAGCAUUGGAUUUCAUUAAGCAUGCCUGUGUUCAGUUGCUAAAACAGUCUGCAAACCCUUUUAUUUCUCUGCAACCAUAGAUUGAGGAAAGAACAAGCAUGCUUAAUGAACUCUAUUACAAGAACAUGAAAGGGAUGAAAGUUAAGCAGUUAGUCAGAGAAAAAGAGAAGUGCGACAGAGAUAUGUCGGUCUAUUACGAAUCACCUAUUUGAGUUCAGUGUUUUUAGUAUCUCUCUCUCUCUCUCUCUUACACACACACACACACACACACAUAGUCACACACCCCUGAAGUCACAAAAACCCAAAACAAUUCUACAGUCUUGGCAAAUCAUAGCGUAAGCCUUAGUUAUGUUUCUUUGCCUACCACACGCCCCUUUCAUAUUUCUAUGAGCCAGCAGGAAAUGGUACUCAGACGGUGGUUUGUUCAUGUGCAAGAGGUGAAACUUGGUAUUUAUGUCACAUACAAUGGUGAUUUCUUUUACUAGCUAUUCUUGGAAGGUAGAACAGUUUAUAAUGGAAUUAUAAUGAGCGACCCAUAUGUUGUUAACCUUUUUUAUUUGCCUCAAAUUAUUCAGCCGAGAGAGAGAGAGAGAGAGAGAGAGAGAGAGAGAGAGAGAGUGAGUGAGAGAGAGAGAGGUUCUCUGAUCUAUCAGUGUUCUUCUUACUUGUGUUUUCUUUGAGGUUCUCUGAUUUUCUAGAGCUGUGUGGAGUUACAAAUCUUUCUUUUCAUAUUGUUCUUAUAAAUAUUUUUUAUUGAUAAAAAUGUUUUUUAAUCUGUGCUAAGAAAAAUAUUUUUUUCUUUUCAUUUUCAAUUUGUUUGGGUUUUGAAUAUGUCACAUUUUGACCUCUUUAUUUCACAUUGUCCAAUGGGGUUCUCUUCUGAUUGGCAGAGGAUGCCCUUGCCUGGAAACAUAGCACAACCAAUUUUAUUUAGUAUUUUUAGUCAGCUACCUUUAUUAAGUCAUAUCCAUAUUUAUGUUUCCUAACAUAACAUAGCAAGACCAAUUUUUUAAUAUCUCAUGAUAUAUGUGACUUAGUGAUAUUUGUCUUGGUCAAUUUUUUGAAGAUGUUGUGGAUCAUUGGGGUUGCUGGCACAGGUAACAAAUCAGCGAUGUGCCAUAGUAUUUAUCAAAGUGGUUGAUAGAAACAUUCAUACAGUUAGUUUUGUAAUUCCGUAUUAUGAUUUUAUGAUUAUUACUUGAAUUGUUUGGCCCUUAAAUCUUAAUGAACUAAUCAAGAAUGCCACAUUUUUUUCAGUGUGUGGGGGAGGACAUUGAAAAUUUGGAGUAUACACCAAAACCAGAUUAUAAAGGGCAAUUCAAUGUGAAAAUGAGGUAACGGGAUUUCAUUAAUUGGUUGUUUGAUAUGUGUUCAGACUUUAGAUAACAUUAGGUUUGCCAUUGUGUAUAUAUAUUAUUAUCAUAUCUUACCCUUUUAUAUUUCUAUGAGCUUGCCUGAAGAACUCCUUAGAUAGUGGUUUGUUCACGUGCAAAGGUGAAACCUUGUAUAUAUGUUACAUACAACGUUGAUUUCUUUGACUGGCCAUUCUUAGUUACAAGCUAUUACUCCAUUUAACAUUAGUAAUGUUUCACUACCUACCACACGCACCCAACAAAAAAUAAUGUUCAUAGUUAUUUUUCUCAAACACCUUACAUGAAUGCUGCUUUUGUUUUAGCCCUCUAUUAUUACUUCAAUUCUUCAUAUCUUACAAAAUAUUACACUGUACAAUGUAUCUUUUGUUUCUUGUUUUGACUAAACUCUGUUGGAUAUGAAAAGUAAACAUACUGUGCAUGGGUUUAUUUUGGACUGUUUCAUUAAACUCAAAUUAAAUGAUAUAAGCUCAUCUCAUCAUUGUAAUAUUUUGGAAUCCUGAUUGCUUACAUCCUGCUAAUCUGCUUCUAUUUGGUUAAAUCAUAUGGUCGGCUGAUACCUCAUUGUAUAUUUUAAUUUCCCGCUUCUCACUAGGAGAUACAUGUGAGUAUAUCUACUAGUAAAGGUUAAUUAAUCAAUUGAUGUUGCAAUUGUCUACUUACAAAAUUAUGGGAAUAGUUUUCAAUUUGAGUAAUCCGUUUUCACUUGCCACUCCUAGAUGAUGCAAUAGCAGGAGCCUUGUGCAUUUGGUUGCUCUUUUUUAUUAUUAUUAACAAUUUGUUGCAACAUCAAGAUUAAUUAAUAUGUUGAUGUUGCAACUUGCUACUUACAAAAUAUGGAUAAAUAUUAGUUGCCUUUGUUUCCUCAAAAAAGUAGUUACUUUGUUUUUGGUCUUAUUUCCACAUUUGUCCUUUUGUGUUAGUUCCACCAUUUGGAGAUACCAUCCCUUUGAGAUCAUAUGUUGGAUUCUUAUUUCCACUCUUUUGUAUGUGAAUGGCAUCAUCCUCCAUCUCUUUAACAUAUGUCUCUAUGGUGUCCAAGGCAUUGAGGCCCCAAAGUUGUGCUUUUUGCAAAGUGCAUGCCUGUGUUGCUUUCCUUUAUAUGGCUAUAUGCUGAACCUGUAAAGGUGGUGGGAUUAGAUUCCAAAAGCAAAUCAAUUAGCAGUUUUUGGGGGAAGGUUGGGGAUCCCUGUUGUAUGUGGGCCAUUGAACCAGAUGAAUGUACCGACCACAAUAUCCAGUUUACCUGCUCUUAUCUAGUCCUAGUUGAAGGCUCUUCUUUCCCCAAAAACCACUACGUUAUUGAUGAUAGGACUAGCCUUAAGAAUUUGAUAAUAUGUUCUUUAGCAAUAUUUGAGUUUAAAUUCUGUUAUAAAUCAAUGACCCUGUUAGUAAUCUAAAAGUUUGACUCGUUAUACAUUGACUAUUAUUUAUCAUAUGUAACUCUCCUUGUCCUCAAACCUCACUUUUCUUAAAAAGUAAAAAAAUAAACAGGAAAUUUAGUCCCCCUCCCCCUUCUCCUUGUUUUGUUUUGGGCAUAUUCACAGACCACUUACAUAUUGGUUACUAAUGCUUUUGAGAGUCAAAAGAAUGGGGUUUUCAUACAACUUUGUUUCUCUUAUCUUAUAUCUGGUAUUUCUGUUAAAACAUGCCAUUUGCUAUCAAUCAUGUUGAUGAACUUACCACUUUUUAACUGCAUGUAAGCUUAGCCUGGCCUUCAACACUAAAAUCUUUUCCUAGGCUUGAAUUAGGCUGCUUGCAUGUUGCUAUAAGGAGAGUGGUGGAGCUCUGCUUUAGUGGUAGUCUUUUUGGAUUUAUCAUCUGUACUUUGUUAUGCAGGUGAAGGCUCUUAUUCAUGUUCAGUCUACUAGUAGUGUUGAUGACUUGUUUCUUUGUCAGUAGCCAGUUGUGUAGGCAUAUACUCAGUUAUUUUAUAAUUUUUGUUGCAUCAGGAUGGGUCUACUUUCAAUUCUAAGUAAAAGUGUCCUUAUUUCUAUGUUGCCACGAAGAUAUAUUUCAAUAUAGGGGUUAUAAAAACAAAACCAGAAAACUGAUGUAAAGGUAGGAAAAUGAGAAGCAAGAAAUCAGUCUCACUUACAAUGGACUGUUAGUCAGGUUUUUUUAUUUUUUUUUCUCUUCCCAUUUGUUAGUUAAAUUCAUUUUCCAGAAAACCCAAAGCAUACUUGUUAAUAUUGCAGGAAAAUAUAGAAAUAGUUGUUGUGGCAAAUCUGAGGUGACAAUAUGAUGGACAGAAUGCUGAUAUUGAAAUUAUGGAGAAAAAGGAUCUUGAUCUUUUAAUUUGUUCCUUCUUCAACCUCAUUAGAAAUAUUUCUCCUUUGGAGAUCUACUUAAUAAUUUGCUUCAUUGAAGUACAAGUUUACAAAUCGUCCACUUUUCAUCAUUGAAUUUGUGGUUCACUAAUCAUCAAUGUUUCAUCUGUAUUCCCUGUGAGGUAUCUUUUUUAUUUUUGUGUUUAUAUUUGUAUGCACAGUCAUUUGGAAAAUAAUUAUCGCUAUAGAAUAUUGAUCGCUUGUGGAAUAGGUGGUGGCAAUACCUUGCAGGUGUUGUUUUUGUAAGAAUGAGUAACGAAAGAGAACUCAUGGAAAUGGGAGUAUGAGGAUAGAAGACCAUAGGUUGGGAUCGUUUGUCCCAAUCUUUCA